This 234-nucleotide ribosomal RNA is filed under the name uncultured Candidatus Saccharibacteria bacterium. RNAcentral describes it as "partial 16S ribosomal RNA". It matches the Rfam family "Bacterial small subunit ribosomal RNA", at positions 584 to 818 of the family's 1533-position model. The record is from RNAcentral. Lineage: Bacteria; Candidatus Saccharimonadota.
UAAGUGGGUAGUGAAUCGUGUGGCUCAACCAUUACGGCUAUUACUCAAACUGGCGAGCUCGAGAAUGGUAGAGGUAGCUGGAAUUUCUAGUGUAGGAGUGAAAUCCGUAGAUAUUAGAAGGAACACCAAUGGCGUAGGCAGGCUACUGGACCAUUUCUGACGCUGAGGCACGAAAGCGUGGGAGCGAACCGGAUUAGAUACCCGGGUAGUCCACGCCGUAAACGAUGGAUACUA